AUACUAGGCCUAGUUAAAAGUUGAUCGCUUGCUAGCUAGCUAGCUAGCGCUAGCUGUACCGUAUAUAUUGGUAGUACGUAGGUACGUUACCCAUUCAUUGAUUUUAUGCUGGAUUUAAGGAUAUGGCAAAGUAAUGUCUCUGUCAACGUUAAAUUCUACGACUACGCUACUGAGCACAAUAUUCCUGAAUCGUAUCAGACGCAGACGCCGUCAUGAAGCCCAAGAACGACGUAGGAGAUAUUUUGAACACUUCCGAAGACGCCAGCGUGAAACUACGAGCUUGAUGGUUCUCCUCUUGUCGAUGUUCGACACAGACGACACGGAACGCAUCCCGCGGUCGGUCAGUUCGUUGCCCUAUUCCAUGCACUGGUGGAAUAACAUAGUCUUAGCAUCAUGGGACGAUCAAACGUGGCUCGAGAAUUUCAGGAUGACUAAAGAAACAUUCAGGUACCUUGUAGAAGAACUCAAACCCCACAUUUCAAAGAAAGAUACAAAUUGGCGUAGGGCCAUACCCGCAGACCAGCGUCUUGCUAUCGCCCUUUGGAAGCUAUCAACAAACAUAGGGUAUAAGACAGUAGCUGAAUUGUUUGGAGUUGGAACAUCAACUGUUCAUCUCAUCGUGGUGACCGUUGUAUCAGCCAUCAACAAUGUUUUGAAAAAUUAUAUUUCCAUUCCUACGGGCAAGAGAUUGCAGGAUUGUAUGGAGUGCUUUGAACACAAGGGAUUCCCCCAAGCUGUGGCAGCCGUUGAUUGCUGUCAUAUGCCCAUAUUAGCUCCACCCAGCAAACGAGAGUACAUCAACAGAAAAGGGUUUUCAUCCAUUAUACUUCAAGCGGUCAUUGAUAGCUUUGGACAGUUCAUUGAUUUAGACAUAGGAUGCCCUGGUAGCAUGGAUGAAGCAGAAGUGUUUAGAAAAUCAAAAAUUUCUACAAAGGUGAAAAAUAAUACCAUCUUCUGCGUACCACCCAAGGUCAUUGAAACCACUUCCAUUCCUGCCUUGAUGCUUGGGGCUGAACCAUAUCCACUCAUGCCAAACCUUAUGAAACCAUACAAUACAGAAUUAACACUAACAGCUGCACAGAGAGUGUUCAAUCAGAGACUAAGCUCUUGCCAUGGUAUAGUUCAACAGGCCUUUAAGCGUCUUAAAGGGAGAUGGUGUAUCCUUGAUAAUAUGAUGGACAAGUUUGAAAAGGCCCCCUCUCUAGUCCUAGCAUGCUGCAUUCUUCACAACAUUGUAGAAAGUAAACGUGAGCCAUUCCUGGAUGAGUGGACAAAAGAAGAUGUUUUCUCUGUGCCACAUAGACCAGUCCAGGAUGAUGCUAUCUGUGGAACAAAUGCUACUUCCAUCCGCAAUGCACUUACUCUACACUUUAUUGAUAAAGGUACCACAGAGUAGCCAUUGUCAAACUGGCAAAUUUACUGCCAUUUCACAAGGAAAAAUGAACAGGUAGGUGUCAAAUAAAGCUGUUCGUAAGUUACAAGCGAUUUCAUGAACAACUGGUGAUUCUUUCUUGUGGUAACAGGUGAUAUAUACACCAUAUUUUCAUUGGGUUCGAUUUAGCGCCGAAGAAAGGCUCACCAGCAACUUGUCGUUCUUAAAGUCACUCGUAACUUACAAAAAAUUUUACGAAACACUUAUCUAUUCAUAUAAAGGCAAGGAAAUGAAUGCAUGUUGUAAAGUGUGCAUCAACAUAAACUAUUGAAUGUGGUCUUUUCCAGUUUUCCAUAUUUCAUUUUUAUUAUUGCAUAGAGGUAAUAGACCAUUUAGGUAGUCCAUGCUAUCAUUGUUCAAACCAGUCUAGACUACAAGUGCACAUGUGUACACAUGCAUAAAGUAAUAAUACACUUUUUUUACAUUGAACUGAAGGAGCAUAAUCUGCAUUGAAAUUUCAAACAUGCAGAUGGUGUGUAUUAAUGACUGCUGCCCAGAAUGUUAUACUAUCGUUUGUUGCUAAUUUACAUGCCCACCCACAGUCAGGCGGCAGGUCCCAAGAAAGUGGCUUCUUUCAUCCAAGUGAUAUUCAUGACUUGAGAUGUUUUGCAUAUUUAAUGAGCUUGAUGCGGACCAAAACACCUCUUUUCAUUCGGUCAUUGCUGCUCUAAUUGUGCAUCGAAUUUCAUAAAUUUGGUAUCAUUGUAAAGAAGAAGAAUUAUUCUUUCAGCUCAUGUGUUUAGAUUUGUUCAAAGAUUUUGUAAUAUAGGUUAAAAUUUUGAUCUAAAAUAUGCUACAAAAUAAUUAUUUUCACCUGACAAAAGCUGCUAUUUUCACACUUUAUUUUUUGUGAUCUUGACCCGAUUAAAAGGUGCCGCAUAUCAAGAGUGGCAUUGUGAGAAAGUACAGAAGUUCAGCUUUAUGUUGAUAUAGAUAUCAUUGAGGCUCAAAAUAAAAAGUUUUGCACAAAUUGCAAAAGAAAACAGAGGAAGAAAAUUCAGUUUUGAGGCACAUUUUCAGGCCAGAAAUUUACUUAUUUAACAAAAUAUUGUAUACAAAAGAAAUGACCAAUAUCAAAGAGUAACCUUUACUCUAUCUGAUGGUGCAAUAAUAUUUCAUUUAACUUGAGGUUAAAACAGGUAAAUUCUUAGAGAAAGAAAAUCUCACGAAUCACGAGAAUUUGCAAGGAGGAGGAUUCAGCCACGAGAUGAUUUGGAUGAAUCUGGCCUUUUUGCUCAUUAGCAUAGGGACCUGCGGUCUGACUGCCCAUGGUUCUUGAAAGCUUGGGGGGAGUCAAAUAUAUUGCUGUAAACAUGUGUGACCAAAUUAUUUCCAAACACCCCCUAAACCUGUUUUCUCUGUGUGCAAAAUAACCCCCUAAACAAGUUUUUCGAGGGCUUCAUUUACACAUUUAGACCCCUAAAUAAGUUGUUGCCAGAAUAUGACCCCCUUAACAAGUUUUGUACAAUCGGGAAGAACCCGAACACUUGUCAGAAAUGAGGACGAAAAAGCCCUGGAGAAAAAGCUUGGGGGAAAAAAAUACCAUAAAUACAUUUGACCCCGCGAUAAAAAAACAGUGUUUUUGAUACCCUUAACGAGUGCACGCGCGGCCUGCAUCCAAAACAGGAAAAAACACCCCUUUAAAUGUUUUUUUUUUUUUGGUCACGCAUGUAUGUGUACAGCAAUAUAUUUGACUGACAUUUUGUAUGCAAGUCCUUGUACAUGGUGACUGAAAAAAAAUCACCCUGAAUUUUAUCAUUUUAAUGAGCAAAAGGCUGUAGAGUUCCCUUAUAGAAAUUGACAUAUCUAUAUAUUCCAAUUUUAAUAUGUAACAGGUAUGUAUUGUCUCGGGCUCUCGGCAUACUGUGCUACUGUGUUUACAAUGUACAUAUAAGAAUUGAACUUAAAUUGUUAUUCUCUAAAAUAAGAACUGUGUUGUUUGUCCUAAGUGAUCAACAGUUUCCCUAGGGAAUAAUUACACUUUCAAGCAAAAGAAAUGAAGAAAAUUGUUGAAAUUUUAUGAUGAAAUUGUGAAUAUAUUUCCACCAGCAUCAUUUUUCAUUGCUGCCAUUUACAUUCUCAGUAGCAGACCUGACAAUGGGACUUCUAUUUGGACCAAUGAGAGUGACCCAAACAAAAUCUUCCCUCCAGGUCAAUGUCACAUUUGCCAUACCAGAGAAAAUUUUGGCUGCAAUGUUUCUAAUGUUUACACAAUGUUUAUAAAAAUUUGCAGAUUAUAAAUAUUGGAGUUCCCAUUUUUUUGAAAUUCCAGAGGAUGCCAUUUACGCACAAUAUAUAUGUACUAUUAUGUGGUGGAUAUAUAUCGUCAGACAAAUGACCUUAUACCAUUUUCAUAAGAAAGUACUUCAUCCUAUUCCAUAAAUUAUAGAAUUUAUACUACAUGAUAUAUGAGGGACCUGUUUGCACAUGACACCACAAAUAAAAAAACAUCUUUUUCUUUUUCUUCAACAAUAAUUUCUCUGUUUGCAUUAAGUAGUAAGCAUGGAAGGAACAACAAAACAUAAACUAGUUUGAAUGAGAUAGUUGUUUUAUUAUUAACGAUUCAUUGUACAUUUUCUUGCCCAAAGUUGCAUGCCUACAAUGUGCGAAUACAUUAUACAUUCAAACAAAUAAAUUAAGUGUUUUUCUUUUCCUUGCUACUACACUUAUUUACAGAUUACUGGUUUGGUUUUAAUUUGUGAAUGAUCAUCUUUACAAAUUAAUCCUAAUGAAAUGUUUGUUUUGUGAAAACCAUGACAUUAUGUUGUAACUAGUCAGUAAUCAAUCAAUAUAAAUAAUGUUCUGGGCCUACACAUAUAUCUAACAAUACACGAUGUUUGCAUUCUGACCAUUUGUAUUUUUGUUACAAUUCAUAACAUACAUGUAGCACUUCACUAAAGCCGCAGUCACACAGUCACGUUGAGUUAUGUCCGCCACGGAUAGAUACGGAUUAGUGGAUGCAGCCAGCUGCAGGAUCGUAAGUAGACGUAUAUAUAUAUAUACGUAACUACGUCUGUAGUGGGACACAGACUUACGGUGCCAGCCUGCGAAAUUUCGAAAAGUUUAAAAUUUUGCAGGGAGUCGCUGCGGAUGCUAACGCAAGUAACCAUAAAGAAAUGCAACUAUUCGUAUUAAAUGUACGUAACAAUCCGUACUUUGCAGGUUAGACGCAUCUGUGAAAAUGUUUACAUCGUGUCCAUUUGCGUCCACUGUAAGUAUUCCCAAUUACCCGCAAGUACUCGUAUCCAAACACUUGCGUCCGUAUGAAAUUGAAUUGUUUAUGGACAAGUACGGAUGCUGUGACAAUCGUGUCUGUUUACCUUGCUUCUUGGGGAAAUUUUCAAAUCUGUUCAUUUUAUUCACAUCCACUGAAAAAUGAACAAGAAUUCAUAUGAUUAUUUAUACGAACAAUAAAAGGGAAAAAAUCAAUACAAGAAAAAUAAAUAUUAUGACUUCAGGAAAAAGUUAAACCAACAUGCAGUGGAUGUAGGUGAUUGGCAAAGGUCAGGGACCUAUCCAGGUCAACCCCCUAAGUUCUGCACAUUAACAGUUGAUGGAGAGUCGACAAGAUAUGACUUAUAUUUCUGCUUAAAAUAAUAUGAUAUUAAACUGGUAGGCCUAUUUAGUUAGUCCCUAACUAUCAUAGUGAUAGAGAUGGACACGUUUCAAUUUAUGUUGUCCACAUUGUUCCAGAUGACACAUCCUUCGUAUUUAAUAACAUUUCUAUAAAAAAAUCAUACAUAUAUUACAGAGAUAAAAUUCAUUGAUAUUUCUUGUUGAAUACAUAUUUGUAUUACUAUUAAGAGGUUAAAUAUCCAUAUAGUAGGGUCCCUUUGGACGAAGAAAUAAAAAAACAAGAAAAUAGCCAUGUAAAUCAUAAAUAUUUAAAAUUUUUAAGCUUCCAAAACAAUGAGUCUGCAUGGGAAAUAUGUUGAAUUAGUGAUUAUUUUUUUGUCCAUUUUGGUAAAAAACAUUAUUUUUGUUAUAAAUAAGAUGUGCUUCCCCAUAUUAUAGUAAAAUAUGUUAGACAUAUCAUUAGCUUAUCUAAAUUAUUGCGAAUAUAUUUUUGACGAGAUGAAUUUCAAGUCUCCUCAUACACUACGUGAUAUUUUAUAUAUGUCAUUUAUAUGGUCUUCCCACAUAAGUUUAAAAUUGUAAAUCUCAACACCAAGGAAUGUUAAAGAAGUUUCCUUGUUUAUUAUUUUGUUAUGGAUAGGAAACCUAUAUCCCCAUUAUAAUUGUUUUCUUAAUUCAUCAAUAAUUAGUUGACAAUAAGAAAUGUACUUAGUGACUAUUCUUAUGCACGUUUUGGCAUUAAAAAUACUUUUUUGACAAGCCAAACAUUGGCUUUCCCAAACACCAUUUUUUCAAUACAAAAAUCUGCAUAUAUUUUGAGUAAAAUCUUCUUUUUCACCUUCUCUCUUUUAUGUAGAAAUUCAUAUUUUUUUAUUUUAGUUUCCUACUUUUUAACUUAAAUGUUAUUGAUUUGUGAUUAUUUGAAUUGAAAAUAAUUACUGCCUUGUUUUUAGUAAGGUCAGAAUCUUACGUAUGAUGGGUCAUUUCUAUGGAGGUAUAAAGUUAUUUUCUCAUUAACACUGAUUGGCAGGGAAUAUUCUGAGCCUUGUUCAUAAUUAUUAUUAACAAUCCGUAACCUUCCACACCUGUCCAUAAAUAUCCAAAACUGUUCAAAAGUAUCUGGAAAAACAAGUCGAAAGAACAAAUAACACAUCAAUUCAGAAGAUUUAUUCAGACGGCAGGUCCAAGUGAUAUUCAUGACUCGAGAUGUUUUGCAUACUUAAUGAGCUUGAUGCGGACCAAAACACCUCUUUUCAUUCGGUGCUGCUCUAAUUGUGCAUCGAAUUUCAUGAUUUUGGUAUCAUUGUAAAGAAGAAGAAUCAUUCUUUCAGGUCAUGUGUUUAAAUUUAUUCAAAGAUUUUGUAAUAUAGGUUAAAAUUUUGAUCUAAAGUGUGCUACGAAAUAAUUAUUUUCACCUGACAAAAGAUGCUAUUUUCACACUUUGUUUGUUUGAGCCCAAAUGAUUUUUAGAUCAUGAUAAAGCUGAAUAUGUAUGCUUUAAAAUGGUAUAGGUUUCAAAAUAAGAAUUGGUUUAAUCAGGUCAAGAUCACACUUUUCAUUGGCCAAGUACAUAAAGCAGCUUGAAAACAAGAAUACUGCACUCUGAUUGGUCAAAAUUGACUAUUUUUUUGACGCAGAGCACUGUGUGACUGUGGCAAAUUUAAUUUGACUACAUGUUAUAUUUACCUAUUCCUAACAUCUGUAUGUACAUGCAGUACUUCAAUGAAUAAAUGAAUAGUUGUCCUCAAGUAUUGAAUGAUAUUUCA
RNA transcript from Lytechinus pictus (painted urchin), 6774 nucleotides. RefSeq lists it as uncharacterized. The transcript is spliced from 4 exons. NCBI's taxonomy places the organism in Eukaryota, Metazoa, Echinodermata, Echinoidea, Temnopleuroida, Toxopneustidae. The record is from RefSeq and is a predicted model, not a curated record.